Molecule: signal recognition particle RNA, 99 nt
Filed under: pig gut metagenome
Description: Bacteroidales small SRP
Rfam family: Bacteroidales small SRP
About the family: The non-coding component of the signal recognition particle in Bacteroides
Source: RNAcentral
UGGGUAAGUCCUACACGGCUGCUCCCCGCAAAUUCCCCCAGGUCCUGACCGAAGCAAGGGUAGUGGGUCGUAGCGGCGCGAUGUAGUAAGCUUGCCCAU